GACGUGACGUAGAGUUCGGGCC
RNAcentral lists this non-coding RNA (22 nucleotides) under Arabidopsis thaliana (thale cress). The record is from RNAcentral. Lineage: Eukaryota; Viridiplantae; Streptophyta; Magnoliopsida; Brassicales; Brassicaceae.